GAACGCAUAUUGCGCUCUCUGGUAUUCCGGAGAGCAUGCUUGUUUGAGUAUCAGUAAACACCUCAACUCCUUUUUCUUUUUUGAAAUUGGAGCUGGACUUGAGUGAUCCCAACGCUUUCUUCCAAGAAAGUGGCGGGUUGCUUGAAAAGCAGGUGCAGCUGAACUUUUCUUUGAGCUAUAAGCAUAUCUAUUUAGUCUGCCUAAAAAACAGAUUAUUACCUUUGCUGCAGCUAACAUAAAGGAGACUAGUUCUUGUGCUGACUGAUGCAGGAUUCACAGAGACAGCUUCGGCUGACUUUGUAAACUCGAUCUCAAAUCAAGUAAGACUACCCGCUGAACUUA
This 342-nucleotide unclassified non-coding RNA is filed under the name Mortierella alpina. RNAcentral's name for it is "sequence contains 5.8S rRNA gene". The stretch from base 1 to 53 matches the Rfam family "5.8S ribosomal RNA", at positions 102 to 154 of the family's 154-position model. The record is from RNAcentral. Lineage: Eukaryota; Fungi; Mortierellomycota; Mortierellomycetes; Mortierellales; Mortierellaceae.